This 484-nucleotide ribosomal RNA is filed under the name uncultured bacterium. RNAcentral's name for it is "partial 16S ribosomal RNA". It matches the Rfam family "Bacterial small subunit ribosomal RNA", at positions 30 to 507 of the family's 1533-position model. The record is from RNAcentral.
AUUGAACGCUGGCGGCAGGCCUAACACAUGCAAGUCGAGCGGAUGAAGGGAGCUUGCUCCUGGAUUCAGCGGCGGACGGGUGAGUAAUGCCUAGGAAUCUGCCUGGUAGUGGGGGAUAACGUCCGGAAACGGGCGCUAAUACCGCAUACGUCCUGAGGGAGAAAGUGGGGGAUCUUCGGACCUCACGCUACAAGUUGACCCUAGGUCGGAUUAGCUAGUUGGUGGGGUAAAGGCCUACCAAGGCGACGAUCCGUAACUGGUCUGAGAGGAUGAUCAGUCACACUGGAACUGAGACACGGUCCAGACUCCUACGGGAGGCAGCAGUGGGGAAUAUUGGACAAUGGGCGAAAGCCUGAUCCAGCCAUGCCGCGGGUGUGAAGAAGGUCUUCGGAUUGUAAAGCACUUUAAGUUGGGAGGAAGGGCAGUAAGUUAAUACCUUGCUGUUUUGACGUUACCAACAGAAUAAGCACCGGCUAACUUCGUG